UUCUUUAUCGUGCAAAUUCAAGUCACCCAU
RNAcentral lists this non-coding RNA (30 nucleotides) under Rattus norvegicus (Norway rat). Lineage: Eukaryota; Metazoa; Chordata; Mammalia; Rodentia; Muridae. The record is from RNAcentral.